GGAUGUGAGGGUGACCUGGGUGUGACAUCUGUCACCCCAUUGAUUUCCGGGGUUGAUUUGGCUGUUCUGGUUGCUGGAUCACCGCUCGCUCCAUAAGUGCCCUCUUGAGGCUGCAUGCGGUGGAGGAGGGAGACCACUCCCCAGCACAGGAGGACUACCAGUAGCUGCAGUCCUCUCUCAGAACCUCAGACGAGCUCCCAAGUAGCUGAGAUUAUAGGCAGGCACCACCACACCGGGCUGU
Unclassified non-coding RNA from Cavia aperea (Brazilian guinea pig), 241 nucleotides. Its record names the gene 7SK. It matches the Rfam family "7SK RNA". Rfam says of the family: 7SK was discovered as an abundant small nuclear RNA in the mid-70s but a possible function has only recently been suggested. Two independent studies have found that 7SK RNA binds the CDK9/cyclin T complex (known as elongation factor P-TEFb). P-TEFb activates transcription by phosphorylating the C-terminal domain of RNA polymerase II. The record is from Ensembl. Lineage: Eukaryota; Metazoa; Chordata; Mammalia; Rodentia; Caviidae.